AAGCACUCUGCCACUGAGCCAAGGCCCCAGCCCCCUUUUCUGUGUUUAGAUAUGCUUAGAUACACAAAUACUUAAAAUUGUGUUGCAGUUGCCUAUGGUAUUUGGACCCCCAAACCAGAUGUGGUGGCUCAUUCCUGUAAUCGCAGCAACUCAGGAGGCUGAGGCAAGAGAAUCUCAAAUUAAAACUUGGCCUCAGCAAUUUAGCAAGGCCCUCAGCAACAUAGUAAGGCUGUGCCUCAGUGGUUAAGCACCCCUGGGUUCAGUCCUCGGUAUUAAAAAAAAAAAAAAAAGAGUCUUGCAAGAGAAAGAUUCAGGUUGAAGGGUGCCAGCCUGUGGCAAAGAUAGAAAGGAUAUAGUGGCAGUUAGUUUCCAAUGCAAGUUGCCCAAGAAUCCUACAACAUGGAGAUUUUCAGGGCUAAAAACAAACAUCUCUUUUGGUAUUGCAAAUUGCAAAUUUGAGCAAUGGGCUGGGGGUGUCACUCAGAGGCAUAAUGCAUGCCUGGCUGUGGGUUACAUCCCCAGCAGCAAAAACAACAACAAAAAUUUAAGGGGGUGGGGAGGUGUAGCUCAGUGGUAGGGUGCUUGCCUAGCAUGUGUGAGGCCCUGUGUGAUCCCUGUGAUCUUCAACACCAAAAUACAGAAAUAAAUGUAAACAACUAUAAGGAGUGGUUUGGGAGUAAAGUCUUGGCUCAAGAUGAGUCUAACUUCUCCCAGAGUCUAUGAGCCUGGAGGCAAAGAUGGCCGAUGUCGGCAUUAAGGAUGCCACCUUCCUACCCCUGACUCAGAAGCACUGAAAGAGGUUGUCCUUAGGCUCAGCACAGCCUCAUUUGCAGAACAAAGCAUUUAGAUUUAAAAAAGUAUGUCUGGGGGCAGGGGGUUUAGCUCAGAAGUACAGCAUUUGCUUAGCUUGUGGGGCCCUGAGUUCCAGAGCUCUCUCUCUGCUGCCUACCUCUCCCGUAUCUACAGGGGAAUAAUGGAAAAGGAAGAACCUCCCAGAAUGCAGAAUGAGGGGCUAUCUGAAUGGUAUCCAAGAACCAGUUCUACUGCCAUAGAGGGGAAUCUUCCCUGUCCCUCUUCAGAGGAUGCCAUGUUUAUUUAGCCAUGCUGGAGAUGGAACCCAGGGCCUCACACAUGCUGGGCAAGUUCUUUACCACUGAAGUAUUUGUGUGGACAAAUAGGCUUUCUUUUCUCUUGGGUAAAUCCUUCAAACCUUUUUUCAGUUAAACAUACAUAACA
RNAcentral lists this long non-coding RNA (1236 nucleotides) under Marmota monax (woodchuck). Lineage: Eukaryota; Metazoa; Chordata; Mammalia; Rodentia; Sciuridae. The record is from RNAcentral.